UCCGGUGACUAUGGCGGAGGGGCCACACCCGUUCCCAUUCCGAACACGGAAGUUAAGCCCUCCAGCGCCGAUGGUACUGCUGGGGUGACUCAGUGGGAGAGUAGGUCGUCGCCGGAU
RNAcentral lists this ribosomal RNA (117 nucleotides) under Myxococcales bacterium. The record is from RNAcentral. Lineage: Bacteria; Pseudomonadati; Myxococcota; Myxococcia; Myxococcales.